AGAAGGGUGACCUUGGCCGAGGAGAAUUUAUCACUGUCUCAUCUCUGACUAGAGAUAUUCAUGGUGCUCCAGCUGAAAGUUUUGUUGUUAAGCUCUCUGAAGCAAUUGGAAGCUUGAAAAUCCUGCGGAAAAUGUCAUCCUUUUGGUGUAGAGUUGCCGUUGAGGAUGUGCUCGACAUGUUGCUACAGCUCCUGUCGUAGUGAUACCCUCAUCUAAACGCUACCACGCGAGAAUGAGCAGAGCCCAAGCUUGACCUUAUGUGUACAUCCUGAGAUGGGAUUGUGUUAUUGCCGACCUUUUAAGCCCUCCCUCUUGUAUUGUGUGGUAAACGCUCUUUUCUCUGAAGUUGUGGCUCCUACCCGUCUGUGACUACAGUUUACUUGAAUAACAUGAAAUAAUUCUGACAUUAUGUUUUGUAUAA
Coffea arabica (coffee) is the source of this 421-nucleotide non-coding RNA. The record is from RefSeq and is a predicted model, not a curated record. NCBI's taxonomy places the organism in Eukaryota, Viridiplantae, Streptophyta, Magnoliopsida, Gentianales, Rubiaceae.